AUAGGGAUAAUCGUAAGAAAUGAGUUUUAAUGUCUGGAAUCUCAAAGAGAUGCUCUGUAUUCCCUCAGGCUCUGAGAACACUAAAUCAUCUAACUGGAAUAAUCAUCAAACUGAUUAUUCCAGUCUCAGUGAUUCCCAGUUCCUCUUUGGAUCUCAGUUCUGUUCAGAAAAUUCAGAAAUCUUGUCAGUACCCUUGGACUUUGGUGGCCACUUGAGACAUCCAAAACAGUCACAACAGAAUUCUCUGGAGAGUGAACCUAGUAUUUUCACAAAGUACCAGACAAAACCCCAGCUGUUUGGAGGAGAUAAAAAAGAUAGAGGCUUAUUUUCUCUUCCUUUGUCAGUUGGAAAAUCAAAAGGCCUCUUGGAACAGUUUGAGGAGAAAAAGAAAAAAGCAAAAGACAAAUGUGACAG
Molecule: long non-coding RNA, 414 nt
Organism: Carlito syrichta (Philippine tarsier)
Lineage: Eukaryota; Metazoa; Chordata; Mammalia; Primates; Tarsiidae
Exons: 3
Source: RefSeq, a predicted model, not a curated record